Molecule: ribosomal RNA, 853 nt
Filed under: uncultured bacterium
Lineage: Bacteria
Description: bacterial SSU rRNA
Rfam family: Bacterial small subunit ribosomal RNA
Source: RNAcentral
CGACAUCGAAAGCUUGCUUUUGAUGGGCGUCGACCGGCGCACGGGUGAGUAACGCGUAUCCAACCUGUCCACCACUUGGGGAUAACCUUGCGAAAGUAAGACUAAUACCCAAUGACGUCUCUAGAGGACAUCUGAAAGAGAUUAAAGAUUUAUCGGUGAUGGAUGGGGAUGCGUCUGAUUAGCUUGUUGGCGGGGUAACGGCCCACCAAGGCUACGAUCAGUAGGGGUUCUGAGAGGAAGGUCCCCCACAUUGGAACUGAGACACGGUCCAAACUCCUACGGGAGGCAGCAGUGAGGAAUAUUGGUCAAUGGACGAGAGUCUGAACCAGCCAAGUAGCGUGCAGGAUGACGGCCCUAUGGGUUGUAAACUGCUUUUAUAAGGGAAUAAAGUGAGUCUCGUGAGACUUUUUGCAUGUACCUUAUGAAUAAGGACCGGCUAAUUCCGUGCCAGCAGCCGCGGUAAUACGGAAGGUCCGGGCGUUAUCCGGAUUUAUUGGGUUUAAAGGGAGCGUAGGCCGGAGAUUAAGCGUGUUGUGAAAUGUAGAUGCUCAACAUCUGCACUGCAGCGCGAACUGGUUUCCUUGAGUACGCACAAAGUGGGCGGAAUUCGUGGUGUAGCGGUGAAAUGCUUAGAUAUCACGAAGAACUCCGAUUGCGAAGGCAGCUCACUGGAGCGCAACUGACGCUGAAGCUCGAAAGUGCGGGUAUCGAACAGGAUUAGAUACCCUGGUAGUCCGCACGGUAAACGAUGGAUGCCCGCUGUUGGUCUGAAUAGGUCAGCGGCCAAGCGAAAGCAUUAAGCAUCCCACCUGGGGAGUACGCCGGCAACGGUGAAACUCAAAGGAAUUGACGG